This 266-nucleotide unclassified non-coding RNA is filed under the name Ceratobasidium sp. RNAcentral describes it as "partial internal transcribed spacer region". The stretch from base 1 to 46 matches the Rfam family "Eukaryotic small subunit ribosomal RNA", at positions 1786 to 1831 of the family's 1831-position model. The record is from RNAcentral. Lineage: Eukaryota; Fungi; Basidiomycota; Agaricomycetes; Cantharellales; Ceratobasidiaceae.
AAGUCGUAACAAGGUUUCCGUAGGUGAACCUGCGGAAGGAUCAUUAAUGAAUGAAUGUAGAGAAGGUUGUAGCUGGCCUCCCCGAGGCAUGUGCACGCUUUUUCUUUCAUCCACACACCCCCUGUGCACUUGUGAGACGGAGGCGUUUUCCUUUAACCGGGAUGGGCCUCCGUCUACUUUAACAUAAAAUCUAAUUUAUUUAAAACUGAAUGUAAUUGAUGUAACGCAUCUAAUACAAAGUUUCAACAACGGAUCUCUUGGCUCUC